GACGAACGCUGGCGGCGUGCUUAACACAUGCAAGUCGAACGGAAAGGCCCUGCUUUUGUGGGGUGCUCGAGUGGCGAACGGGUGAGUAACACGUGAGUAACCUGCCCUUGACUUUGGGAUAACUUCGGGAAACUGGGGCUAAUACCGGAUAGGAGCUCCUGCUGCAUGGUGGGGGUUGGAAAGUUUCGGCGGUUGGGGAUGGACUCGCGGCUUAUCAGCUUGUUGGUGGGGUAGUGGCUUACCAAGGCUUUGACGGGUAGCCGGCCUGAGAGGGUGACCGGCCACAUUGGGACUGAGAUACGGACCAGACUCCUACGGGAGGCAGCAGUGGGGAAUAUUGCACAAUGGGCGGAAGCCUGAUGCAGCAACGCCGCGUGCGGGAUGACGGCCUUCGGGUUGUAAACCGCUUUCGCCUGUGACGAAGCGUGAGUGACGGUAAUGGGUAAAGAAGCACCGGCUAACUACGUG
Molecule: ribosomal RNA, 468 nt
Filed under: uncultured bacterium
Lineage: Bacteria
Description: partial 16S ribosomal RNA
Rfam family: Bacterial small subunit ribosomal RNA
Source: RNAcentral